RNAcentral lists this long non-coding RNA (315 nucleotides) under Homo sapiens (human). Its description in RNAcentral is "HSALNT0195425". Lineage: Eukaryota; Metazoa; Chordata; Mammalia; Primates; Hominidae. The record is from RNAcentral.
AGAAAAAUGGCAUCGUGCUCUUUGCUGGUCUGCUUUUUUUCUCACUUCAUUUUAACCACACCAAUAUCUGGAGCUUUGGCCAAACAACUUGGCUUCUAGAAAAUGUGGAGGUCAACUCCCUUAGAUCUUUUAAAUUCCAAGAACAAAAGAUAAAAGAAGCUCUACCAAAAAUCUUCCUACCUUGAUGUGUACGUCUGUAAUUGUGGUGUUAAAGUUGUGUAGGGAAAAAGGGAGAAAGCUUCAUUUGUCUUCCUCCAGCUUGAGUUGAUAGUUGGUGAUUGGACUAAUGGUCCCAUGUACUGUUGUAACUUCAGG